This 24-nucleotide non-coding RNA is filed under the name Arabidopsis thaliana (thale cress). Lineage: Eukaryota; Viridiplantae; Streptophyta; Magnoliopsida; Brassicales; Brassicaceae. The record is from RNAcentral.
CCAAGCGGUGACUUCUAUUUGGAU